UUUUAAAACUAAGUAAAGCUAAGCACUAACAAUUUUAAGAUAAUAAAAGAGAAGCUGAAGUCACAAACAAAAAAUGCCAUAAUGGAGAAGUAUGGAAAUGCUGCAGCCUACGAAGAGCUUCCAAAGGAGCUUCUUUUGGGGCAGAGAGACAAGUAAAGUAUGAUAGGGCUGACAGAAUUAUAGAAGGCCUGGAACAGAAUCAGAAAAAGCUUCGAAAGGCUGUCUCGGAGGUGUCGAAGGAAAUUGAAUGAUACUACAAUGAGUUGAAGUUGGAGAAGAAACUUGGUGCUAUUGAAGAGGUGGAGCAAGCUGAAUGCCAAUCUUUAUUUAGGUUGGAAAAAUUCUUACAUUGAAUAUGGUACAUCUUUAUUUAGGUUGGAAAUUUAAUCCAGAUAGUACCUAUAUCUUUGUUAUUUUAACUUUGAUACAUUAUCAUCUGGAAUUUGAAUUGACCCUAACAUGCUAAAAUUUUUUAGGGUUCUAGUUGCUUUAGUUUUAAGUUGGAUUAUCCUUCCUUUUUCACAAAUGAUUUAAAGGGGUUAAGUCAUGAUAUCUGACUAGAAGUCUUACAAGUAGUGAUGCAAACUAGUUGCUUGCUUGGUGAUUAUUAUAUUUAUAGGUUUUUCAUGAACUAAGGGUGUUGAUAUUUAUUUAUUUAUUCAUCUUUGUAUUGCCUAUAAUGGAAUAUUUGAUAUUUCA
This is a long non-coding RNA of Glycine soja, 699 nucleotides long. RefSeq lists it as uncharacterized. The transcript has 2 exons. The record is from RefSeq and is a predicted model, not a curated record. NCBI's taxonomy places the organism in Eukaryota, Viridiplantae, Streptophyta, Magnoliopsida, Fabales, Fabaceae.